This 301-nucleotide ribosomal RNA is filed under the name uncultured bacterium. RNAcentral describes it as "partial 16S ribosomal RNA". It matches the Rfam family "Bacterial small subunit ribosomal RNA", at positions 509 to 809 of the family's 1533-position model. The record is from RNAcentral.
CAGCAGCCGCGGUAAUACGAAGGGGGCUAGCGUUGCUCGGAAUGACUGGGCGUAAAGGGCGCGUAGGCGGCUUGGUAAGUUAGAUGUGAAAUCCCCGGGCUUAACCUGGGAACUGCAUUUGUGACUGGCGAGCUAGAGUAUGGCAGAGGGGGGUAGAAUUCCACGUGUAGCAGUGGAAUGCGUAGAUAUCAGGAGGAACACCUGUGGCGAAAGCGGCUCACUGGACCAUAACUGACGCUGAGGCACGAAAGCUAGGGGAGCAAACAGGAUUAGAUACCCCAGUAGUCCCUGUCUCUUAUAA